This 254-nucleotide ribosomal RNA is filed under the name uncultured bacterium. RNAcentral describes it as "partial 16S ribosomal RNA". It matches the Rfam family "Bacterial small subunit ribosomal RNA", at positions 524 to 776 of the family's 1533-position model. The record is from RNAcentral.
UACGUAGGGUGCGAGCGUUAAUCGGAAUUGCUGGGCGUAAAGCGUGCGCAGGCGGUCUGUUAAGACCGAUGUGAAAUCCCCGGGCUUAACCUGGGAACUGCAUUGGUGACUGGCAGGCUUUGAGUGUGGCAGAGGGAGGUAGAAUUCCACGUGUAGCAGUGAAAUGCGUAGAGAUGUGGAGGAAUACCGAUGGCGAAGGCAGCCUCCUGGGCCAACACUGACGCUCAUGCACGAAAGCGUGGGGAGCAAACAGG